UCGAUUUCCAAAUUUUUCUGCCUCAUGUAAAUGUAAACAACUUGGAAAAAUUAAUAAUCUAUCAGCUACUUGUCUAGAGAAUGUGAAGGAUGCAGCAGUUUUCUCUGAACAAAAAACCUUUUAGACCGAGUCUGUUUGAAAAUUUUCAAGUUUUGAAUGGCACAAAUUCAGAGCCUUCUGAGGUGAUUUGAUUUUCAUAGUUUUCAUCUGAUAACGUGGUGUUAUCAUAAGUCAAAUAAUUAUCCUUUCUUUGAAGGAGGCUAUUCUUGGGCUCUUCGUCAGGAGGGAUGUCAAGGAAAUGCUGUACAGAAAAGAACGCGCCUUUCGCGAGAUGUACAAACUUGGGAGAUAAAUGUAUUUCUUCAGAUUUAAAGCAAGACUUAAAUGAUUAAUGGAUGGGACGGAGAUCUGCAUAAUCAGAGAUGGCCAAUUGUGGUCGUAGCUAAUGACAGUGGUGUUAAACGUUUGAGAAUUUAUCUUGCGAAACUCCGGCCAUUUAUACCCUUGGCUCUAUCAAUUUUGGUAAUUCUCACCGCAACGGAUCACCCCCGAGUCGCCUGUUAUAUAUAAAACCACAAUGGAAAAAUCGACCGACCGAAUCGUGGCAAACAGUGCCUGUUGGAUCAUCUCGAUCUGUGUCACACACUGACAACUAAAGCUUACGAACGGAAACACACACGAGACAGCUGAUAGACACGAGUUACCUGCACACGACAUGGUGAAUCAUGCACAAAAGCCGCCUACUCAUACUGAACCAAUCGCGAUACAAUUAGGUUCUUCAAGAAGGAUAACAAAAAAAGAAUAACACGGGGAAAACAUGAUUCGAAGGAAAUAGAA
This is a long non-coding RNA of Cimex lectularius (bed bug), 837 nucleotides long. RefSeq lists it as uncharacterized. NCBI's taxonomy places the organism in Eukaryota, Metazoa, Arthropoda, Insecta, Hemiptera, Cimicidae. The record is from RefSeq and is a predicted model, not a curated record. The transcript has 3 exons.